This is a long non-coding RNA of Trifolium pratense (red clover), 627 nucleotides long. RefSeq lists it as uncharacterized. NCBI's taxonomy places the organism in Eukaryota, Viridiplantae, Streptophyta, Magnoliopsida, Fabales, Fabaceae. The record is from RefSeq and is a predicted model, not a curated record. The transcript has 3 exons.
CACCCAUAAACUCAUUAAAACCCUAAACCCCAUUAAAUCUCAAUCGAUUGAACCCAGAAUCCCAUUUAAACCCUAAAUUAAAAAUCAAUCGAACCUAGAGAACUCGCUGAAACCGUAAAACCAUCUUUCCCCAUCGUUCAUCAUUGUCCAUCGUUUCAAACUCGUUUACCCAGAAAUUCAUGGUUCCGCCAUCGUUCAUCGCAGUUGAACCUCCAUCUUGUCAUAAGUGGUUAGGAUGCUGAAGGAAAUGAAAUAUCACGUCCAGGAGCACAUAUCAGGUUGGGAAGACAUGUUUUCACUUGGGGGAGGAUACUUGCAUUUGAAGCUGCAAGUUGCAUUUAGUGAUGAAGAGUGACAGAAUUCUUAUGAUGUACUACUUAUAUUUCUAAAAUCUCAACAUUCUUAAACAUAGAAAAUUAAUGGCCUUGGUAAGUUUUUGUGAUUAUGCUGAUAUAUGUUGGAUAAUUGAAAUAUUAUAGGAUACUUUGAUAGGAUUAGUCAAAUUUCUAUAUAAUAGAAGGAAGAAUGAUCUUCUUAAUACAAGUCAAAGAUGUGAAGAAAGUGACAGUAGAUGUUUAUAGAUGCGGUCAUUAUGUUAAUCUGCUUCUGGUGCGGUUGUCCCUGCUU